Molecule: long non-coding RNA, 4973 nt
Filed under: Sus scrofa (pig)
Lineage: Eukaryota; Metazoa; Chordata; Mammalia; Artiodactyla; Suidae
Description: lncRNA (ENSSSCG00040042603.1)
Source: RNAcentral
GGGUUAACACUUAACACGUUUAAUACCUAACACAUUAAACACUUAACACAGGAUCGAACCUGUAGACCCUGCUGAUCCCAUUGCACCACACUGGGAACUCCACAGUCUUCAGAUUUUUAAAUGCAAGAAUCAGAUACAAAUCCCUAACCAUCAUCCACUAUAGUGAUAAUAAUAAUAAUUGGCAAAUAUAUAUCAGUCUUUCUAUAUAGUCUUCCAAAAGGGCCUUUUGGCUGAUACUUUCCAUGUUUUUCCUUUUCCCCUUCAUGUCUGUUCUCUACCCAUUUCCAGACUGCUCUGUGUGCCCUGCAGUGGUUUGCCCAGCCUCCCUUCCUCUGGCUUCUGGUUAUCUUAGCUCCAUAAGAACAAUGAGGUGUGGGGGGAAUAGAAGCUGUGGUACUCGUUCUCCUUGUCCCAUCCCGGGCAGGCUGCAGGUCAGCAGAGGCUCUGUCCUUGUCCUGGAGACCCGCUGCUACAGUCUUGCAGCUCCAGUUCUUCUGAGGUCUGGGAACCAUUAUUGCUGUUUCCCCCUUCAGGCUUAGUCCAAAUUGUUUGGUCCAGAGUGUUUCAUGUUCCGUUUUUGCUUUCCACAAUCUUCUACACAGCUUUGUAAAUUGUUCCCUAUUCACAUGUUCUUAAUUAACCCUGUAGGUACAUUUUCUCUCUCCUGUUGGGACUGUGAAUGUUAGAGUGGGAUUAAAGCAACUCCCUCCGUAUUACUCUAUAGCAUUCUGAACUUCUCCACAUUAACACGCUAACUGCACUUUUUAAAGGUGUCUUCAUCAUAGUCUUUCAAGACCUAAUAAUACGUUGUACUCUUAUCUAACCUAGAAGUAGAUGAUGAGUUAAUGCCGGCAGAAUGAGUUUCCUGAUUUUAAAAUUAUUCGGCAGACGUGAUUUAGUAUCUCCAUGAGAAUGUGGCAAGGCAGAGAAAAUAAAGAGUGACUUUUCAAUAUCCUAUAAACCUUUUAUGAAUUGAGGUCUGGGGGAGGAGAAAGGAAAGACAGGUUCAGGCAUGGAAACUGGAGGAAUAUAUCUUCCCCUGAGAAAAACAGGGAGGCAAAGGAAUUAUGUGAGAGGACGCAGAAAACAAAUGCAUAGGUAAAAAGCGAGUCCAAAGGAGGACUCCAGUGUUGUUAGCAGAAGAAUGGUGUAGUCAGAGGCCUCAUGUGCUCAGAAUGAGAAAGACACGUAAUCAGACUUUGGAGAGUUCAAAAUAUUGAGAAUAUUUGCUUCCAAGACUGCAUAAGAAGUUAAAUAAAGGUAAAUGAAGGGAUUGCUAAACAGCUAACACAAGGGCUGGAGAAGCUCCUCACCCUACAAAAUAAUCACUCCCAAAUACCCCCACACACACACACACACACACUUUGCAACCUUCUCUUACGCUUGAUCUCUAUAAGAUCAAGCAAGAGUGACUUUUAGACAAUAUGUAAUCUUCAUAUUUUAAAAAAAGAAAACUUCUUUUUUGUUUUUGUUUUUUAAACAAUUCUUAAAGUUUCUUUUAUCUCCCAGUAACUUUAGUGGAUUUUUUCUGGCAAAUCUUCAUGUUGGAUUUUUACAGUAAGGAUCCAGCUCUGUUUUCAAAAGUGAGAUAAAAUUGUUGCUAAAAAAGGAAACCUGAGCAAUUUCGUAUGGCUAGUAUGUAGAAACAUUUCCCCAUUUUAAAAAAGCUGAGCAAAUUAGUUGAUUUUGAGCAUUGAAGAGCUACUCAGAAAUGCAAUUCUUUUCAGUCAUUUCUCUUAUAAAGUAUAUUGUUAAUAAUCAAAUUUAAAUGCAGUGGAAAAGAUCCUCAGAUCUAAGAAACCUCUUUAGAGAAUACUUUGCCCAGCCUAUAAUCAUGCCAUGGCUAUUUACCCAAUAUUUAGUAUAAAAUCUCUGUAGAACUAUGAUGGGUCUGAGUAUUAAUCUUAUUUGCAAGUUUUCCAACCAUAGCUUCAUGGAUGAUGGCAGAAACUGAGGUAAUUCUCUCACAACAAGAAUAGCAAAAAGUACUGUUACUCUGGCAUUGGGUCUUUAAGGAAAAAUUCAGACAGAUCAAUAACAUGAGGAAGGUUGGGUGAUACGCCCCAGUGUGUUGCAUUACAGAGGGGAAAGCCUGAGUUUAGGGACCCCGUGUCUUUUGCAAUGGGCCGUAGACCACCUGCCUUUGUUCAGCAGGGAGACAGUGUCAUGACCUUUAAGGCUAUAAGCAAAGUUGACCUUUGCUCUAGAGGUACGCACAGCUUUCCAAGGCUGUUCACCAGGCAAACACCCUGGAUGAGAUAGUCUAAACAAAGGACAGGCAGUGUUUCUGCUUGCAAGGUAUGCAGAGAUGUGAGGAACACAGGAAGAACUGCCUUCCGGUAAGAUGAACUUAUAUGUGACAUAAAAUUUAGAUGUACCAUCUCCAGCACUCAGAUCUCCUUAUUUGUGUCUAAUACACAGCUAGCUUUUUUUUUUUCUUUCUGUUUUGCUUUUUAGGGCCACACCUGAGGCAUAUGGAAGUUCCCAGCCUAGGGGUCCAAUAGGAGCUGCAGCUGCCGGCCCAUGCCACAGCCAAAGCAGCGCAGGAUCCAAGAUGCAUCUGUGACCUACACCAUAGCUCACGGCAAUGCCAGAUCCUUAACCGACUGAGUGAGGCCCGGGAUUGAACACUCCUCCUCAUGGAUACUAGUUUUAUUUGUUACCACUGAGCCGCAACAGGAACUCCCACAUAGCUUGCUUUUUUAUCCUAAUAGUAUGUCCGGGAAUUAUUAACCUUCUGAUACCAAGCUUCUAUUUCUAUGAGACCCUGUGUCAGUGUGAUUUUUGACAGUAUAACAAUGUCCACUGAGAAUUUAGAUUAAUUUGAGUAUAUAAUCUGAGGCAUUACUUUGAAUAAGUUUACUAAUAUAAGGCUUUAAUAAUAUUUGAUGACAUGAAUUCCCAUAUUAAAUUAGUUUCUUUGAUUUUCAUGAAUUGAGGUUAUAAAUUUUACUUUCAGGAAAAAAUGCAUAGCACUAAAUUUCCAUAAAAAGAGAGAAUAGCUUUUAAAUAUAUAUCAGUUGGGAUCUGACUGUUCUUGGUCACUUUAAAAAAAGUGGCACAGUUUCAUUGGGAAAUUUCUCUUGGCUACCUAACAUCUGAGUUGAAAUUGAUUAAUGAAUUUCUUUUAGGAAAUAGCAAUAAUUAUGUCACACAUUUUAGUGUCUAGUAUAAACUCAAUAUUCCAACUCCACCAAGAGAAGUCAGAUGAUAUGGGUCAAAGACAAAAAAUUAGAACUCUACAUGGUGUUCAGUGGAAGACAACAAGUAUAUGUCCUACAAUUUCUUUUUUUUUUUUUUCUUUUUUGGGCUGCACCCAUGACAUAUGGAGGUUCCCAGGCUAGGGGUUGAAUCUGAGCUAUAGCUNGACAGCUCACAGCAAUGCCAGAUCCUUAAUCCAUUGAGGCCAGGGAUGGAAUCGCCAUCGUCAUGGAUACUAGUCAGAUUCAUUUCCAAUGAGCCAUGACGGGAACCCCAUCCUACAAUUUCAUGAUGGAACUGCUGCCAUUUCCUCUCAUUCACACUAAUUGAGACCUUACAGGACUGGGAAGGGUUCUCUCAGGGGACAUAAGUCAGGUGUUCACAGCUUUAGGGACAAGAAUUCUACUUUGCUUAGCCGUCUUAAAGUUAUAACUACUUGCCCUUUCUCAUUAUUAGGUUUGUUAAGACCUAAAUGUCAAGAUUAAGAGUAGACAUAGGAUAUAGCAUCUAAUAAACAUUUUGUUCAAAGGGCAGGAGUCCUUGAGACUUAGAGGUAAUGUACUCAGGAGGUCAGGGCUAGUUAACGGUAGAGGAUAAAGCUUCAAUAGUGCAGAAUAGAAUUCUUUUUCUCUUGUGUCCCUACUGUGUAGCUCUUUCAUUCUGGAAUUCCACAUCCCUUCUAAGUAUCUUUCUAUUGCAUUGUAGUGAAAAUGCAUUCUGCUCUCAUUGUCACCAUACAAUCUCAACCAAUUGAAGGAGAUCACUUAUCUCAACUUACGUUUUACAAUGAAAUAAAACAAUUACUUGUUUUCUGUGAUUGUGCUAUUUACUAAGAUUAUGUAAAUAAAAUGCAAUAAAAAGAAAGGUUAAUAGAAAGAAGUGAGAGUACAAAUGUUGAACUCUACAAGCAUUUGAAGAAAAAGUCUUCAAGAAAAAAUUCUUCAAGAAAAGUUUAGGAAUUCUGCUGAGACUUUCAGGAUUGAAGGGGGAAGCUCUUUCCUCAGGACCCCAUCAGAGCAGCCAAAAGGGAUUGAGCUCACGUCUCAAGAGCUUGUGCUAUGGGGAGGCUGCUGGGUUAGUAGCAUGGAACUUUAAAGGUAUGGAGACUAAGACACACAUCCCAGAGGAGGCAGGACAAGAGGGAAUGCAAGGAAUGUAAAGGAGUUUUAAAUGAGGGAAGAAAAAUAUGAGCUGUGGCUACAUGGGGUGAGACUUUGAGGGGAGAAAGAGAUAUCUGAAAACUGUUGUAAGCAAGUGCUCUGUGCAAUUUUAUGAAUUGCCUCAUUGUUGCUUCCUCAAAAGAUCUUUCAUAAAGGUCGAUAUUCAUCUCAAGUCACUUUUUAGAGCUCGAUGUGUUUUUAGAUGGGAUACUGAUUUAACGCUGCCUCAGAUGAUGGGUAGCCCAGCUUAGAUGAGUUGCAUAUAAUUCUAUGAAUCACAUAUGGAAAGAAGAUGGGAGCAAAAUUCUCUUAUGAUAUUGAUAAUUAUUUCAAUAAAUAUAUUCAUGUGUUGGGAGUUCCCAUCGUGGCGCAGUGGUUAACGAAUCCAUCUAGGAACCAGGAGGUUGCAGGUUCAGUCCCUGGCCUUGCUCAGUGGGUUAAGGAUCUGGCGUUGCCUUGAGCUGUGGUGAGGUUGUAGAUGCGACUCGGAUCUGGCAUUGCUGUGGCUCUGGCAUAGGCUGGUGGCAGCAGCUCUGAUUAGACCCCUAGCCUGGGAACCUCCAUAUGCCAUGGGAGUGGCCCUAGAAAAGGCAAAAAGACAAAAAAAAAAAA